Hipposideros armiger (great roundleaf bat) is the source of this 902-nucleotide long non-coding RNA. RefSeq lists it as uncharacterized. Lineage: Eukaryota; Metazoa; Chordata; Mammalia; Chiroptera; Hipposideridae. The transcript has 3 exons. The record is from RefSeq and is a predicted model, not a curated record.
GGCCCCUCGGAACCCCGGCACCAGGCAGCGGGCGAGGCGUAGGGGGUCCCCGCGAGCGCCGCCCUCUGGCCCAGAGCCCUGCCUUCCCGCCCCCCUUCCGAGAGAUUGUGGGGGCAAGCGGCCCCUAUCAGCCUCCCCAGCCCUGGCCCAGAAAGGACAACACGGGAGAUCCCCAGAAAUGGGACUCAAAACAGGGCGGGUGAAUGCCCCACCCAUGCCCCACCCUCCCUCCUGUGCACUCUGCCCACACCCCUCCCAUUCCCUCACUAGGGCCUCGAACUGGGCGCCCUGCCUUCCAGAGGAUGAGCGAGGGAGGGAACCAACGAUGCAGAGUUCCACUGCUGGGGCGUCUGUCCACAUUGCCAACCCAGCCGAUUUAAACCUUUCCACCCUCGUGGGAGAAGAGGGGCUGUCACAGUGAGAGAUGGUCCAGGCGUUCGUGGCCUCCAAUGCGCGGCUGGGCCCAUCUGCUCCCCAUCACCCACCUGUCUCCCUCCAGGCAGGGCUCUUCUUCACAGUGAGAACAUGGAGGAGGAACUGGGAACCGUCCUUUGCAAUAAUAAUUAGGAAUGAAACAAAAGGAGAUUUAUCUCAGGAACUAAAAGGACAACUGAACACACAUAGCUAAUUUUGCUCCCUCUGAAAACCCUACUAAAACUACCAAAAGACAUUCUGUAAAGCCGUAAACCACCAAGGACCUGGAGAUUAGGGAAACAACAAAAUGUGGACAAAAUGUGGCCCAAGAAGGCAAAUGGACAAGGGAUGCCCGGCCUCUGGCCUCGUGGAGCUGAGUCCUAAUCCCGCCGUGGGUGAAGCCAAAAAAGAGAACCUCCAGAGGCCAGCCGAGUGGCUCAGUUGGUUAAGAGCGAGCGCUGAGCAACAGGGUCACCGGUUCGAUUCCC